AUUGAACGCUGGCGGCAGGCUUAACACAUGCAAGUCGAGCGGGGUGAUGGUGCUUGCACUAUCACUUAGCGGCGGACGGGUGAGUAAUGCUUAGGAAUCUGCCUAUUAGUGGGGGACAACAUCUCGAAAGGGAUGCUAAUACCGCAUACGCCCUACGGGAGAAAGCAGGGGAUCACUUGUGACCUUGCGCUAAUAGAUGAGCCUAAGUCGGAUUAGCUAGUUGGUGGGGUAAAGGCCUACCAAGGCGACGAUCUGUAGCGGGUCUGAGAGGAUGAUCCGCCACACUGGGACUGAGACACGGCCCAGACUCCUACGGGAGGCAGCAGUGGGGAAUGUUGGACAAUGGGGGGAACCCUGAUCCAGCCAUGCCGCGUGUGUGAAGAAGGCCUUAUGGUUGUAAAGCACUUUAAGCGAGGAGGAGGCUCUUUUGGUUAAUACCCAAGAUGAGUGGACGUUACUCGCAGAAUAAGCACCGGCUAACUCUGUGCCAGCCGCCGCAGUAA
This 503-nucleotide ribosomal RNA is filed under the name uncultured bacterium. RNAcentral's name for it is "partial 16S ribosomal RNA". It matches the Rfam family "Bacterial small subunit ribosomal RNA", at positions 30 to 523 of the family's 1533-position model. The record is from RNAcentral.